This 274-nucleotide ribosomal RNA is filed under the name uncultured bacterium. RNAcentral's name for it is "partial 16S ribosomal RNA". It matches the Rfam family "Bacterial small subunit ribosomal RNA", at positions 523 to 796 of the family's 1533-position model. The record is from RNAcentral.
AUACGGAGGGUCCGAGCGUUAAUCGGAAUUACUGGGCGUAAAGCGUACGUAGGUGGCUUGAUAAGUCGGAUGUGAAAGCCCUGGGCUCAACCUGGGAACUGCAUUCGAUACUGUCUGGCUAGAGUAUAGUAGAGGGAAGUGGAAUUCCGGGUGUAGCGGUGAAAUGCGUAGAUAUCCGGAGGAACACCAGUGGCGAAGGCGGCUUCCUGGACUAAUACUGACACUGAGGUACGAAAGCGUGGGGAGCAAACAGGAUUAGAUACCCCAGUAGUCC